CAAAUUAUUUAUAGUUCGGGAUCGCCAAAUUGAGUUCAUCGCCAAUCAGGCGGUCAUCGCUAGUAGGGGGAACGUGGUUUUUUUUGCGACAAAUUUUAAUUCAUCGCCAAUUUGGCGACAAACUCAAAAUUUCUCUGAAUUUGCAAAGAGAAGGGAGGCUGUGUAGGGCGCAUUAGGGCGAUGCAGGAGAAGGGCACGGGGAGCUUCGGGAAGAGGAGGAACAAGACCCACACGCUGUGCGUGCGGUGAGGGUGGAGGAACUUCCACCGCCAAAAGAGUCGGUGUAGUUCCUGCGGCUACCCCGCUACUUGAAUCUGCAAGUCAAGUUUGUUCUUGCAACAUAUAAUUGGAGUGUGAAGGCAAUCAAAAGGAAGACAACUGGUACCAAAAGGAUGAGAUAUCUCCGUCAUGUACCACGAAGGUUCAAGAACAAUUUCGGAGAAGGUAUUCAAUUUUUCUUCUUCUGAUUUGUAAUGUCCUAAAUUUGUAUUAGAUGGUUGACAAAUAGUCGGCAGAUUCCCCAUGGAAGAUAUUGAUUUUAGGACUCUCCUUUCACAAGGCUGCAGCUGUUUAAACUUAAUUGUUUCUUUUUAGAUUCUGGAGUCUUAUGAGGGUUUCUUAAAACUUAAUUGUUGAACGACAAGACUUCUUUGGA
Zingiber officinale is the source of this 655-nucleotide long non-coding RNA. RefSeq lists it as uncharacterized. The transcript has 3 exons. The record is from RefSeq and is a predicted model, not a curated record. Lineage: Eukaryota; Viridiplantae; Streptophyta; Magnoliopsida; Zingiberales; Zingiberaceae.